CCUACGGGCGGCAGCAGUGAGGAAUAUUGGUCAAUGGGCGCGAGCCUGAACCAGCCAAGUAGCGUGAAGGAUGACUGCCCUACGGGUUGUAAACUUCUUUUAUCAAGGAAUAAAGUGGGGCACGUGUGCCUUUUUGUAUGUACUUUAUGAAUAAGGAUCGGCUAACUCCGUGCCAGCAGCCGCGGUAAUACGGAGGAUCCGAGCGUUAUCCGGAUUUAUUGGGUUUAAAGGGAGCGUAGGUGGGUUGUUAAGUCAGUUGUGAAAGUGUGCGGCUCAACCGUAAAAUUGCAAUGGAGACUGGCAGGCUUGAGUACAGUUGAGGUAGGCGGAAUUCGUGGUGUAGCGGUGAAAUGCUUAGAUAUCACGAAGAACUCCGAUUGCGAAGGCAGCUUACUAAACUGCCACUGACAUUGAUGCUCGAAAGUGUGGGUAUCAAACAGGAUUAGAUACCCCGGUAGUC
Molecule: ribosomal RNA, 460 nt
Filed under: uncultured bacterium
Lineage: Bacteria
Description: partial 16S ribosomal RNA
Rfam family: Bacterial small subunit ribosomal RNA
Source: RNAcentral